This 253-nucleotide ribosomal RNA is filed under the name uncultured bacterium. RNAcentral describes it as "partial 16S ribosomal RNA". It matches the Rfam family "Bacterial small subunit ribosomal RNA", at positions 524 to 776 of the family's 1533-position model. The record is from RNAcentral.
UACGUAGGUGGCAAGCGUUGUCCGGAUUUAUUGGGCGUAAAGCGCUCGCAGGCGGUCUUUUAAGUCUGAUGUGAAAGCCCACGGCUUAACCGUGGAGGGUCAUUGGAAACUGGAGGACUUGAGUGCAGAAGAGGAGAGUGGAAUUCCAUGUGUAGCGGUGAAAUGCGUAGAGAUAUGGAGGAACACCAGUGGCGAAGGCGACUCUCUGGUCUGUAACUGACGCUGAGGAGCGAAAGCGUGGGUAGCGAACAGG